RNAcentral lists this unclassified non-coding RNA (242 nucleotides) under uncultured fungus. RNAcentral describes it as "sequence contains ITS1, 5.8S rRNA gene". The stretch from base 194 to 242 matches the Rfam family "5.8S ribosomal RNA", at positions 1 to 49 of the family's 154-position model. The record is from RNAcentral. Lineage: Eukaryota; Fungi.
UUUCCGUAGGUGAACCUGCGGAAGGAUCAUUACAGAGUUCAUGCCCUAACGGGUAGACCUCCCACCCUUUGUUAUACCUACCUUUGUUGCUUUGGCAGGCCGCCUUCGGGCUAUCGGCUUCGGCUGGUGCGUGCCUGCCAGAGGACCCCAAACUCUGAAUUUUAAUGUCGUCUGAGUACUAUAUAAUAGUUAAAACUUUCAACAACGGAUCUCUUGGUUCUGGCAUCGAUGAAGAACGCAGC